Molecule: ribosomal RNA, 253 nt
Filed under: uncultured bacterium
Lineage: Bacteria
Description: partial 16S ribosomal RNA
Rfam family: Bacterial small subunit ribosomal RNA
Source: RNAcentral
UACGGGGGGGGUAAGCGUUGUUCGGAAUUACUGGGCGUAAAGGGCUCGUAGGCGGCCAACUAAGUCGGACGUGAAAUCCCCCGGCUCAACUGGGGAACUGCACGGGAAACAGCAGGGCUUGAGUUCGGGAGAGGGAAGCGGAAUUCCGGGUGUAGCGGUGAAAUGCGUAGAUAUCCGGAGGAACACCGGUGGCGAAGGCGGCUUCCUGGACCGAUACUGACGCUGAGGCGCGAAAGCUAGGGGAGCAAACGGG